RNAcentral lists this small nuclear RNA (103 nucleotides) under Piliocolobus tephrosceles (Ugandan red Colobus). Lineage: Eukaryota; Metazoa; Chordata; Mammalia; Primates; Cercopithecidae. The record is from RNAcentral.
CAUACAUCACCCUGUAUCAAAAAAGAAAAAAAAAAUACAGUAAAGAUUAGUAUGGCCCCUGUCCAAGGAUGACACACAAAUUUGUAAAAUGUUUCAUAGUUUU